RNAcentral lists this ribosomal RNA (273 nucleotides) under uncultured Staphylococcus sp. RNAcentral describes it as "partial 16S ribosomal RNA". It matches the Rfam family "Bacterial small subunit ribosomal RNA", at positions 505 to 777 of the family's 1533-position model. The record is from RNAcentral. Lineage: Bacteria; Bacillati; Bacillota; Bacilli; Caryophanales; Staphylococcaceae.
GUGCCAGCCGCCGCGGUAAUACGUAGGUGGCAAGCGUUAUCCGGAAUUAUUGGGCGUAAAGCGCGCGUAGGCGGUUUUUUAAGUCUGAUGUGAAGCCCACGGCUCAACCGUGGAGGGUCAUUGGAAACUGGAAAACUUGAGUGCAGAAGAGGAAAGUGGAAUUCCAUGUGUAGCGGUGAAAUGCGCAGAGAUAUGGAGGAACACCGGUGGCGAAGGCGACUUUCUNGGUCUGUAACUGACGCUGAUGUGCGAAAGCGUGGGGAUCAAACAGGA